Molecule: ribosomal RNA, 497 nt
Filed under: uncultured bacterium
Lineage: Bacteria
Description: partial 16S ribosomal RNA
Rfam family: Bacterial small subunit ribosomal RNA
Source: RNAcentral
GAUGAACGCUGGCGGCGUGCCUAAUACAUGCAAGUCGAGCGAACAGACGAGGAGCUUGCUCCUCUGACGUUAGCGGCGGACGGGUGAGUAACACGUGGAUAACCUACCUAUAAGACUGGGAUAACUUCGGGAAACCGGAGCUAAUACCGGCUAAUUUCUUGAACCGCAUGGUUCAAUAGUGACAGACGGUUUUGCUGUCACUUAUAGAUGGAUCCGCGCCGCAUUAGCUAGUUGGUAAGGUAACGGCUUACCAAGGCAACGAUCCGUAGCCGGCCUGAGAGGGUGAUCGGCCACACUGGAACUGAGACACGGUCCAGACUCCUACGGGAGGCAGCAGUAGGGAAUCUUCCGCAAUGGGCGAAAGCCUGAUGGAGCAACGCCGCGUGAGUGAUGAAGGUCUUCGGAUCGUAAAACUCUUUUAUUAGGGAAGAACAAAUGUGUAAGUAACUAGGCACGUCUUGACGGUACCGAAUCAGAAAGCCACGGCUAACUACGUG